Molecule: long non-coding RNA, 662 nt
Organism: Fukomys damarensis (Damara mole-rat)
Lineage: Eukaryota; Metazoa; Chordata; Mammalia; Rodentia; Bathyergidae
Exons: 5
Source: RefSeq, a predicted model, not a curated record
UCCCGCCCCCACCUGCAGGCUCCGCCCCCGGCCCAGCCCCGGACCGGCGUCCGGGAGCGGACCCGGAAGGGGGGGGCGGACCCAGAGUCAGGUACUUGGGGGCAGGGUCCCCUGCUGGGUAACAGACAGACGUACGAGGAUCCAGGGUGUGGCGGCUGCUUUCUGUCGUGGAGCUGGCCGUCCCGCAGAUGUGCUGCCCUACUGACCACAGGGUCUGGACCAGGCUCCUCUGGGUUCAUAUGGGCAUGCUGGGCUGUUACUGAUGGCCAGUGGGGCCUCAGCUCAGGCAGAGUCCCCGAGGGGCAUGUAGGGGCCCUGGGUCCCUCCCAGCACCAAGAAGGAACCAAAGACUGCCCCUCACGCGCCAGUUCAGCCUGGUAGCGGCAGACUGCAGAAUGUAAUCGGCACCCAUCACUCCUCAGGAUCCCACAUUCUUUGUAAAUCCUGGAGAUUAUGAAACUGUAUUUCUGUAAUUGGUGUCACCUUUGAUCUGUUAAGCUCUACCCUGCAAGACCUCAGUCCUCUGAAGGCCCUGACCUCAGGGGCCAGCUCCCGCCCUUCUGAGGACAGACUGAAGACAGCUAAGCUGCAUGGCGACAUCCACACUUCCUGUCGGCUGAAACCCAAGCUCCAGGAUGAGGCGAGUGCCUGAAGGUCACUCG